This 356-nucleotide ribosomal RNA is filed under the name uncultured Thiobacillus sp. RNAcentral describes it as "bacterial SSU rRNA". It matches the Rfam family "Bacterial small subunit ribosomal RNA", at positions 1027 to 1382 of the family's 1533-position model. Lineage: Bacteria; Pseudomonadati; Pseudomonadota; Betaproteobacteria; Nitrosomonadales; Thiobacillaceae. The record is from RNAcentral.
UCUGUGAACAGGUGCUGCAUGGCUGUCGUCAGCUCGUGCCGUGAGGUGUUGGGUUAAGUCCCAUAACGAGCGCAACCCUUAUCGUUAGUUGCCAGCGGGUAAUGCCGGGAACGUCUAGCGAAACUGCCGGUGUAAACCGAGAGGAAGUGGGGAUGACGUCAAGUCCUCAUGGCCCUUAUGGGUAGGGCUUCACACGUCAUACAAUGGUCGGUACAGAGGGUUGCCAAGCCGCGAGGCGGAGCCAAUCCCACAAAGCCGAUCGUAGUCCGGAUUGUUCUCUGCAACUCGAGAGCAUGAAGUCGGAAUCGCUAGUAAUCGCAGGUCAGCAUACUGCGGUGAAUACGUUCCCGGGUCUU